Molecule: ribosomal RNA, 276 nt
Filed under: uncultured Lactobacillus sp.
Lineage: Bacteria; Bacillati; Bacillota; Bacilli; Lactobacillales; Lactobacillaceae
Description: partial 16S ribosomal RNA
Rfam family: Bacterial small subunit ribosomal RNA
Source: RNAcentral
CGGCUACCAAGGCGAUGAUGCAUAGCCCGAGUUGAGAGACUGAUCGGGCCACAUUGGGGACUGAGACACGGGCCCAAAACUCCUACGGGGAGGCAGCAGUAGGGAAUCUUCCACAAUGGACGCAAGUCUGAUGGAGCAACGCCGCGUGAGUGAAGAAGGGUUUCGGCUCGUAAAGCUCUGUUGGUAGUGAAGAAAGAUAGAGGUAGUAACUGGUCCUUUAUUUGACGGUAAUUACUUAGAAGUCACGGCUAACUACGUGCCAGCAGCCGCGGUAAU